Molecule: ribosomal RNA, 422 nt
Filed under: uncultured bacterium
Lineage: Bacteria
Description: bacterial SSU rRNA
Rfam family: Bacterial small subunit ribosomal RNA
Source: RNAcentral
GGAAUUUUGGACAAUGGGCGCAAGCCUGAUCCAGCCAUUCCGCGUGAGUGAAGAAGGCCUUCGGGUUGUAAAGCUCUUUCGCAAGGGAAGAAAGAUUAGGCUCUAACAUAGCGUGAUUAUGACGGUACCUUGAUAAGAAGCACCGGCUAACUACGUGCCAGCAGCCGCGGUAAUACGUAGGGUGCGAGCGUUAAUCGGAAUUACUGGGCGUAAAGCGUGCGCAGGCUGUUUUGUAAGUCAGAUGUGAAAUCCCCGAGCUUAACUUGGGUACUGCGUUUGAAACUACAAGACUAGAAUAUUUCAGAUGGGGGUAGAAUUCCACGUGUAGCAGUGAAAUGCGUAGAGAUGUGGAGGAAUAUCAAUGGCGAAGGCAGCCCCCUUGGAUAAUAUUGACGCUCAUGCACGAAAGCGUGGGGAGCAAA